AAUGAACGUUGGCGGCGUGGAUUAGGCAUGCAAGUCGAGCGAGAACCCGCAAGGGGGACAGCGGCAAACGGGGUAGUAACGGGUAGGCAACGUACCCUCGGGACGGGGAUAGCCACGGGAAACUGUGGGUAAUACCCGAUAAUCUCCUGUUUCUUUAUGGAAUGGGAGCAAAGGUGAGAUUCCACCUGAGGAGCUGCCUGCUUCGUAUUAGCUAGUUGGUGAGGUAACGGCUCACCAAGGCUUCGAUGCGUAGGGGGUGUGAGAGCAUGACCCCCACCACAGGGACUGAGAUACUGCCAAGACACCUACGGGUGGCUGCAGUCGAGAAUCUUCGGCAAUGGGCGAAAGCCUGACCGAGCGACGCCGCGUGUGGGAUGAAGGCCCUUGGGUUGUAAACCACUGUCAGAGGGGAUGAAGUGCAUGUGAGUUAUCUCAUGUGUUUGACAUAGCCUCAGAGGAAGCACGGGCUAAGUUCGUGCCAGCCGCCGCCGUAAGAC
RNAcentral lists this ribosomal RNA (497 nucleotides) under uncultured bacterium. RNAcentral describes it as "bacterial SSU rRNA". It matches the Rfam family "Bacterial small subunit ribosomal RNA", at positions 29 to 526 of the family's 1533-position model. The record is from RNAcentral.